Molecule: long non-coding RNA, 1495 nt
Filed under: Sparus aurata (gilthead seabream)
Lineage: Eukaryota; Metazoa; Chordata; Actinopteri; Spariformes; Sparidae
Description: lncRNA (ENSSAUG00010010182.1)
Source: RNAcentral
UACGACGUUAGCUUUGUAAGAGAGUGAACAAAACUCCAGGUUGAUUUUAAAAUAUCUUUAUUUAAACAUGAUCCAGAAAAAAAAAUACAUCUUUUAAAAGUUCCUGCAGGUAGCGAACACUUUGUGAGACGCCAGAGGAGUGAAGCCACGUAACAAACAGUUGGUUCAGCACACACGGACACGCAGGCUAACGCUGGAGGCUAACGCUGGAGGCUAACGCUGGAGGCUAACACUGGAGGCUAACGCUGGAAGCUAACAGCUCUGAGCCUGAAGCUAAAACACCCUCAGAGGAAACUCUUCCACCUCCCUCCACUAAUACUGAGAUGGAAAACACAGCAAAUCUUUACUUUUAUAGACUGAACCACUCCUUCCCGACAGAAUCAAACCUGUGACGUUCACACGCAGACCGGUUCUGAUUCUUAUGUAAACAAAUCCCAACAUCAGGACUUUAUCAGCCAAAACAAGAACAGGUCAAAUCAGGCAAAGUGUGUGAAAGUCGGCCGGUCCUUCCCAGAAAAAUGUUUGAAAUCACAACUCAUGCUGAUGUUUAGAGGACAGCAGUGGACAUUUCCAGUUGUUUCUAGGGCGCCAAAACCAGUUUCUUUCACAGGACCGCAGUGAAUAAUUCUAUUGGUUUAAGUGGCGACAAACUGGAAUCGUCCGCUGCUGUCCUUAAAAAACACUCAGUGGUUUCAGUGGCAACCAAAGCAGGUGAUUUCUAAAGGACCAGUGGACAUUAUCAGUGAUGUUAUCGGCAUCAAAACAGUAUUUAAGGACAGCAGCCGACUCACUUUAACAUCACCAGCGUAGUGACUCCUGCAGGAUCCUCGACUGUCCGACUCUGUCUGAGACAUGAGGACGUGUCAGCAGCUGGUCACUGGGAUCACCUGCAGACGGACAGGUGUCGUCACCUCUGGUGGGUGCAGUCGUACGUAUGAAGCCCUUUGAUGACUGACUGAUGGUUCUGAUGUUUAAAUAUAGAGAUAUUCUCACUUCUGUACAUUAAAUGUGGGUCUCAGAGCUGAAAUAUAAUCUGUUAAUCUGUCAGUAAAGUUAGAGGUGCAAUAUCACCGAAGUAACUGCUAACUGUUGUUAGCUUUAGCUGCUAGUUAGCUCAGUUAGCAGUGCAGCUAGCAGUGUGGACUGUGUUUAUCCUGCUAACAAAAGCUCUUUGGGUCAACACAUGAUAGGGCUAGCUGGCUAGCAUGCUAACUUCAGGUGAUAUCUCUGCAACACUGCGCGUAACGUAACAUCAAAACGCUUCUUCUGUUGAUAAUCUAUAAUAAUUCUGACACAUGGCAGCUUGAACUUUAGUUUUUCUGGCUCCGUAUUUACACAUCGCACCCACAUACAUAUUUAUAAAUAUAUAUAUGUAAUAAAUCAGAUACUGGCAGUGUGGCAGGAGAUAUAUGAUUUUGUUCAGUAUAAAUAUAAAUGAUGAGGAUCGAGUUUGGACUCCUGAGUUGGACUCAAGCUCAAACUUGGCGUGAUGUAU